This 148-nucleotide non-coding RNA is filed under the name Chlorocebus sabaeus (green monkey). Lineage: Eukaryota; Metazoa; Chordata; Mammalia; Primates; Cercopithecidae. The record is from Rfam by way of RNAcentral.
GUAGGGCAUGGUGGCGGGUGCCUGUAAUCCCAGCUACUUGGGAGACUGAGGCAGAAGAAUCGCUUGAACCUGGGAGGCAGAGGUUGCAGUGAGCUGAGAUCGUGCCACUGCACUCCAGCCUGGGUGACAAAGCGAGACUCUGUCUCAA